CCCUUAGGUGUCCGGGGCCGCACGCGCGCUACAAUGGAUGAAUCAACGCGUCAUCCUGGCCCGAAAGGGUUGGGGAACCGCUGAACCUCAUCCGUGGUUGGGAUUGGGGUUUGUAAUUAUUCCCCAUGAACUAGGAAUUCCCAGUAAGCGCGAGUCAUAAGCUCGCGUUGAUUACGUCCCUGCCCUUUGUACACACCGCCCGUCGCUACUACCGAUUGGAUGGUUUAGUGAGAUCCUCGGAUUGGUCACGGCACGGUGGCAACACUGCGUCGGUGUGCCGAGAAGACGAUCAAACUUGAUCAUCUAGAGGAAGUAAAAGUCGUAACA
This 327-nucleotide ribosomal RNA is filed under the name uncultured eukaryote. Its description in RNAcentral is "partial 18S ribosomal RNA". It matches the Rfam family "Eukaryotic small subunit ribosomal RNA", at positions 1470 to 1796 of the family's 1831-position model. The record is from RNAcentral.